This 76-nucleotide transfer RNA is filed under the name Clostridia bacterium. RNAcentral's name for it is "tRNA-Ala". It matches the Rfam family "tRNA". From Rfam's summary of the family: Transfer RNA (tRNA) molecules are approximately 80 nucleotides in length. RNAcentral also lists the same sequence under 2 other names. Lineage: Bacteria; Bacillati; Bacillota; Clostridia. The record is from RNAcentral.
GGGGGUGUAGCUCAGUGGCUAGAGCACCUGCCCUGCAAGCAGGGGGUCAGCGGUUCAAAUCCGCUCACCUCCACCA